Musa acuminata subsp. malaccensis (wild Malaysian banana) is the source of this 1409-nucleotide long non-coding RNA. RefSeq lists it as uncharacterized. NCBI's taxonomy places the organism in Eukaryota, Viridiplantae, Streptophyta, Magnoliopsida, Zingiberales, Musaceae. The record is from RefSeq and is a predicted model, not a curated record.
CAACGGCGGCUGCGUUCCUUCGAGUCUCUCCACUUCGACUGUACCAGUGAGAGAGCGCAAGUUGGUGACUCGAUCCGAUCUACUUGCAAUCCUAUUCGAUCUCGUCUCAUUGUGGCAGUCUGGUGACGUUUUCUGAGUCUCGAAACCCUCCAAACUCAUUCUUUGGAAUCUGAUGAUUCUUAGUUUGUCCGAGUUAUCGACUGAUUUCGAAAUGGAACACCAUGUUAUGAUUUUUUUUUAUAGAAUAAGACAUUGCAGAAGGUGAAACAAUUGUGCUGUUCUCCAUGUCAUAUCAUCAACUAACUUCAGUGCAUGCUGAUGCAUCAGACAGGGUUUGCAAACCAGGUGUAAAUCUCAGCUCGAUGUCACAAUUGUUAUCAUCUUAACAAAGGUCCUAAAUGUCUUAGCUCACACCAGUCUUUCAAGUGGGAAUACUGCAAGGCACUCUCAGUUCAUGUGAAGUUGGAAACCACCACACCCAUUUCCUACUUUACCACGGAUUGCAGCUUCAAGGACCUACAUAUCAUAUGCAAAAGAUUUUAGUUGUUUGCACUUUUUUCUCAUUAUAGUUGUUGCACUGGUUGCCGUCACGUUACUAACAUGGGCCUUGUUCGAGAAAAAAGAUUUUCCUAGAAAUUGAGACCACUGGAUUGGACUAGUUGUGCAAGCAAUUGCAAACCACUUGCAAAAAUAUUUUGGAAGUUUGAGAAGGCUCUGCAUAUCUCUGGAAUUGCCAUAAGCCUCUGAAAUUGAUGUGUGAAAUGUGAUCUUUGCCUUGUGCACCAAAAAUUUUCUUUUCAUGUCAUGCUUUGCUUCUUGCCGACUGAUCUAGGUGAAGGCUGUGGAGGCACCAGGGACCGAGACCAUAUUUAGUGAUUGCUUUUUCGGCCCACUGUUUCAAGCACAGCAUAUGAGAUUCGGACAACGACCGGCACCCGAGCUGGCAUUUGGACAGGAGAUGCCACUAUGAUUUUAAAGCUCCAACCAACCAAGCGGACCGGUGGCUGAGCUCCCUGGAUGUUGGCAUCAAUUGCUAUUGAAGGUGGCAUCAAUUAUCAUUCCCCUCCUUUGGUGGAUCCUACCUGCCACAUUACCAGGAACCAAAGUGCUACAUCAUGAAAGUGAUCGGCUCCCCUCAUCACUCAGGCUUGAUGCUUAUCCCCGUCAGGUCUCAGUUAUGUUGAAGCUUGGUACUUCGAGACCCAUGUGGUGACGGUGGAAGUAAAGAAGUCAUUCAUGGUUGUGUGUGUUCAUGUUUCAAGGGGACACCCUCGGUGGAAGUUUUUGGUAAGCAUGGUUACUGUAGUAAGAGAUGUGAAAUGUCCAGCCACUGUCGGGAUUAAACCGCUUUGGAUCAAAUUGCACAUCUUGAACUUAUUGAGCAAGUGUUCUUCAAUUCCUUUACCUUA